RNAcentral lists this ribosomal RNA (501 nucleotides) under uncultured bacterium. Its description in RNAcentral is "bacterial SSU rRNA". It matches the Rfam family "Bacterial small subunit ribosomal RNA", at positions 17 to 507 of the family's 1533-position model. The record is from RNAcentral.
UCCUGGCUCAGGAUGAACGCUAGCUACAGGCUUAACACAUGCAAGUCGAGGGGAAACGAUAGAGAAAGCUUGCUUUUUCUAGGCGUCGACCGGCGCACGGGUGAGUAACGCGUAUCCAACCUGCCCAUCACUUGGGGAUAACCUUGCGAAAGUAAGACUAAUACCCAAUGACGUCUCUAGAAGACAUCUGAAAGAGAUUAAAGAUUUAUCGGUGAUGGAUGGGGAUGCGUCUGAUUAGCUUGUUGGCGGGUAACGGCCACCAAGGCGACGAUCAGUAGGGGUUCUGAGAGGAAGGUCCCCCACAUUGGAACUGAGACACGGUCCAAACUCCUACGGGAGGCAGCAGUGAGGAAUAUUGGUCAAUGGACGAGAGUCUGAACCAGCCAAGUAGCGUGCAGGAUGACGGCCCUAUGGGUUGUAAACUGCUUUUAUAAGGGAAUAAAGUGAGUCUCGUGAGACUUUUUGCAUGUACCUUAUGAAUAAGGACCGGCUAAUUCCGUG